RNAcentral lists this ribosomal RNA (468 nucleotides) under uncultured bacterium. RNAcentral's name for it is "partial 16S ribosomal RNA". It matches the Rfam family "Bacterial small subunit ribosomal RNA", at positions 28 to 507 of the family's 1533-position model. The record is from RNAcentral.
GACGAACGCUGGCGGCGUGCUUAACACAUGCAAGUCGAACGGAAAGGCCCUGCUUUUGUGGGGUGCUCGAGUGGCGAACGGGUGAGUAACACGUGAGUAACCUGCCCUUGACUUUGGGAUAACUUCAGGAAACUGGGGCUAAUACCGGAUAGGAGCUCCUGCUGCAUGGUGGGGGUUGGAAAGUUUCGUCGGUUGGGGAUGGACUCGCGGCUUAUCAGCGUGUUGGUGGGGUAGUGGCUUACCAAGGCUUUGACGGGUAGCCGGCCUGAGAGGGUGACCGGCCACAUUGGGACUGGGAUGCGGCCCAGACUCCUACGGGAGGCAGCAGUGGGGGAUAUUGCACGAUGGGCGGAAGCCUGAUGCAGCAACGCCGCGUGCGGGAUGACGGCCUUCGGGUUGUAAACCGCUUUCGCCUGUGACGAAGCGUGAGUGACGGUAAUGGGUAAAGAAGCACCGGCUAACUACGUG